UUUAUGGAGAGUUUGAUCCUGGCUCAGGAUGAACGCUGGCGGCGUGCCUAAUACAUGCAAGUCGAGCGAACGGACGAGAAGCUUGCUUCUCUGAUGUUAGCGGCGGACGGGUGAGUAACACGUGGAUAACCUACCUAUAAGACUGGGAUAACUUCGGGAAACCGGAGCUAAUACCGGAUAAUAUUUUGAACCGCAUGGUUCAAAAGUGAAAGACGGUCUUGCUGUCAC
This 228-nucleotide ribosomal RNA is filed under the name Staphylococcus aureus. Its description in RNAcentral is "partial 16S ribosomal RNA". It matches the Rfam family "Bacterial small subunit ribosomal RNA", at positions 1 to 218 of the family's 1533-position model. The record is from RNAcentral. Lineage: Bacteria; Bacillati; Bacillota; Bacilli; Caryophanales; Staphylococcaceae.